Molecule: ribosomal RNA, 1364 nt
Filed under: Latilactobacillus sakei
Lineage: Bacteria; Bacillati; Bacillota; Bacilli; Lactobacillales; Lactobacillaceae
Description: bacterial SSU rRNA
Rfam family: Bacterial small subunit ribosomal RNA
Source: RNAcentral
UGCAAGUCGAACGCACUCUCGUUUAGAUUGAAGGAGCUUGCUCCUGAUUGAUAAACAUUUGAGUGAGUGGCGGACGGGUGAGUAACACGUGGGUAACCUGCCCUAAAGUGGGGGAUAACAUUUGGAAACAGAUGCUAAUACCGCAUAAAACCUAACACCGCAGGUGUAGGGUUGAAAGAUGGUUUCGGCUAUCACUUUAGGAUGGACCCGCGGUGCAUUAGUUAGUUGGUGAGGUAAAGGCUCACCAAGACCGUGAUGCAUAGCCGACCUGAGAGGGUAAUCGGCCACACUGGGACUGAGACACGGCCCAGACUCCUACGGGAGGCAGCAGUAGGGAAUCUUCCACAAUGGACGAAAGUCUGAUGGAGCAACGCCGCGUGAGUGAAGAAGGUUUUCGGAUCGUAAAACUCUGUUGUUGGAGAAGAAUGUAUCUGAUAGUAACUGAUCAGGUAGUGACGGUAUCCAACCAGAAAGCCACGGCUAACUACGUGCCAGCAGCCGCGGUAAUACGUAGGUGGCAAGCGUUGUCCGGAUUUAUUGGGCGUAAAGCGAGCGCAGGCGGUUUCUUAAGUCUGAUGUGAAAGCCUUCGGCUCAACCGAAGAAGUGCAUCGGAAACUGGGAAACUUGAGUGCAGAAGAGGACAGUGGAACUCCAUGUGUAGCGGUGAAAUGCGUAGAUAUAUGGAAGAACACCAGUGGCGAAGGCGGCUGUCUGGUCUGUAACUGACGCUGAGGCUCGAAAGCAUGGGUAGCAAACAGGAUUAGAUACCCUGGUAGUCCAUGCCGUAAACGAUGAGUGCUAGGUGUUGGAGGGUUUCCGCCCUUCAGUGCCGCAGCUAACGCAUUAAGCACUCCGCCUGGGGAGUACGACCGCAAGGUUGAAACUCAAAGGAAUUGACGGGGGCCCGCACAAGCGGUGGAGCAUGUGGUUUAAUUCGAAGCAACGCGAAGAACCUUACCAGGUCUUGACAUCCUUUGACCACUCUAGAGAUAGAGCUUUCCCUUCGGGGACAAAGUGACAGGUGGUGCAUGGUUGUCGUCAGCUCGUGUCGUGAGAUGUUGGGUUAAGUCCCGCAACGAGCGCAACCCUUAUUACUAGUUGCCAGCAUUUAGUUGGGCACUCUAGUGAGACUGCCGGUGACAAACCGGAGGAAGGUGGGGACGACGUCAAAUCAUCAUGCCCCUUAUGACCUGGGCUACACACGUGCUACAAUGGAUGGUACAACGAGUUGCGAGACCGCGAGGUUUAGCUAAUCUCUUAAAACCAUUCUCAGUUCGGAUUGUAGGCUGCAACUCGCCUACAUGAAGCCGGAAUCGCUAGUAAUCGCGGAUCAGCAUGCCGCGGUGAAUACGUUCCCGGGCCU